RNAcentral lists this ribosomal RNA (650 nucleotides) under Rhizopus delemar. RNAcentral describes it as "partial large subunit ribosomal RNA". It matches the Rfam family "Eukaryotic large subunit ribosomal RNA", at positions 86 to 664 of the family's 3401-position model. Lineage: Eukaryota; Fungi; Mucoromycota; Mucoromycetes; Mucorales; Rhizopodaceae. The record is from RNAcentral.
ACGGCGAGUGAGAGGAAGAGCUCAAAGUUGGAACCUGUUUGGCCUAGCUAAACCGGAUUGUAGACUGUAGAAGUGUUUUCCAGGCAAGCCGAGUAAAUAAGUCCUUUGGAACAGGGCAUCAUAGAGGGUGAGAAUCCCGUCUUUGGCUUGAGCAUUUGCCUUUUGUGAUACGCUUUCAAAGAGUCAGGUUGUUUGGGAAUGCAGCCUAAAUUGGGUGGUAAAUCUCACCUAAAGCUAAAUAUUGGCGAGAAACCGAUAGCGAACAAGUACCGUGAGGGAAAGAUGAAAAGAACUUUGAAAAGAGAGUUAAACAGUAUGUGAAAUUGUUAAAAGGGAACCGUUUGGAGCCAGACUGGCUUGUCUGUAAUCAAUCUAGGCUUCGGCCUGGAUGCACUUGCAGGCUAUGCCUGCCAACGACAAUUUGACUUGAGGGAAAAAACUAGGGGAAAUGUGGCCCACUUGUGGGUGUUAUAGUCCCUUAGAAAAUACCUUGGGUUGGAUUGAGGAACGCAGCGAAUGCUUAUUGGCGAGUUUUCCAGGAAGGUUUUCUGAGGUACUACGGUAUCAAGGUUGAUCUUUUUGGUUAUACUUCUAUUCGCUUAGGUUGUUGGCUUAAUGACUCUAAAUGACCCGUCUUGANNNNNGGAACC